UGUGUAUGUAUGUGUGUGUAUAUAAUAUAUACACAUACAUACAUGCAUACAAGCAUGCAUACACAUAUGUAUAUAUAUCAAUAAAUUUAUUGAAAAAAAAAGAAAAAGUUACCUUUUGAUCAAUCAAAACUAUCUCCUUUAAUUGUUUUUAUAGUGUCUUUAGCAUGUCUCUUUUAUUUUAUUUCCUAGUGUUCCAUUUUAUGUAUGGGUAUAUGUAUUUGUAAAUACACAUACACAUAUAUAUGUAUAAGCUUUUACUUUUGUUUAAUAUUUGUUUAUUAUUAUUAUCAUCAUUAUUAUUAUUAUCAUCAUUAUUAUUAUUAUUAUUAUCGUUAUUAUUUUAUUACUCCUAAUAUUACCUAUUUUGUUCACAAACCACUUCAUUCCAUAUUCACCUUUACUGUUGAACACAUCACAUUUACAUUCAGCUAAUGGCACAUUUACAAAGCUGCGAUAGUAAAGAAAAAAUCUGCUUAUUGCCAUCUGUGCCACCACCCUGCGUCACUUUCCUUCAUUCACUUACAUGCAUGAUCUCAGUUGCUCAUGCAUGCACCCACCUCUUUCGACGCAUAUCCCUAUCUCUUACACAGAAGCAAUGGUCCAAUCCAUUAUGUUCCUAUUUUGUUGCAAGUUGAUAAGAACAGUAAGAACAAUAUUAUGUCACAUAGUUAAGGCAGUAAGUAUCAGCUAAUGACUAGUAGGAGUACACAGUUUUAAGUUCAUAAAUAUGAAACAUCUCUGCAUGUGCAAGUGAGCAUGUGUGUGAGUGUAGAUUCUAUGGUUGUAAGGACUAGCAGGAGAGCAUUAAGUUUGGUCAUUUCUUGUGGUGGUGGGGGACAAUUCACCAGCAACAAAUCCAGCUUUAUUAUCCAGAAGGAAAUUCAUCUCUUCUUUGUAAUACUGCAGGAACAAUAUGGUUCAUAAACAGGUUCAUGUAGUAUGGAAAGUAGUACGUUUGGGUGGGUACAUAGCAUAUUUAAUACCUCAGUAUUUAAUCAAAGAAAAAAAGAAACAAAACAAAAAACACUUAUUUCUCUAUCCAAUUUUUGUGUUUUGAUGUAUCAGUAUUAUCACUAUUCAGAUAUUAGCUAGUUAAAAAUGAAACAUUAAUUAGUCACUUGGAUUACCAUGUUAGUUAAAAAAUCAGCUUUGGUUAAUUACUUCUAUGGAAAGGAUCAAAACGGUUAAUAAUUGUUCUGUAUAGCUCUCAGUAUCUACUGUGGAGUCUUCUAGUCAUUACAGAGCAGUUUUUUCUAAUUGUGUAACACUGUAGCCAUAGAUUGGUUAAUCAAAAUUUUCACUGUUGGAAGUUCAGAAGCAGCCAAGAGAUGAAACAUUAGUUUUCUUUGAUGUACUUCAGGAAGUACAAGUAUUGCUGGGCCUUCACUGAGAUCACGAUAAGUAGUAAAUGGAUGCCAAAUACCUUGAAACUGUGGAUCCUUUGAUGUCUUCAGGGAGUACACACACUGCUUAGUCUUCACCAGGAUCAUGAGAGCUUGUCUGUUAUAUGGAUGCCAAAGAACUUGAAGCAAUGGAAACUUUGUACCAUACCAUUGAUAACACACCUGAGAAUAUGUGCACUGUCUCUUAUCUGCCUUUUUAUUUGAUCUUCUUCAUGUUCCAGGGCUAAGGAAUUGUGAGCAUACUAUGGUUACAGAUUUCCAGCACCUUGUCUUUUAAGGUUAGUGGUUCUCAACCUAAUUUGAGAUACCACAUAGAAAGUUAUUGAAAGCAUCAAAGACCUCUGAUGUGCAAAAAUUUGAUUUCUCUAUAAUAUUUACUAGAAUGCCAUUUACAUGCAGACCAAUAUUUUCUGCUUCAGUUUGUAAAUUCUGGCUUCAACUUUUCAUAGAUUUAUUUUAUUCUUAAAUUUUGUUUUAACCACAACUUUUACAGAAUUUUUUAAGGUGAAAUUUUCUUUGUAUCCUCCUUAAGUUAUCUCUUGUUCUCACAAUUACUACAAUUACUACACCAUCUCAUUGAAAACCACAACUCUUGACUGAGUUAUCACCAUCGAUCAAACCUACUAGGUGAGGGUUUUCCACAAACUUUGAUAUUUAUCAAGCAGCUGUAAACAGGGGCACAUUGACAGAUGAAUAUAGCAAAAAAGUGUAAUGCAGUUUUAUUCACAUCUCUGGGGACACUUCACUGAUUAGGCUAAUUAAAAACCAUUAUUAAUUUGAAGCCCGUUUGUGGCAAAUUUCAAAACUCGGUUGCUCCAUUUCAGUUUGGUUUUGACCGGUCCAGUGGUGUUGGAAUGGCAUGCUGCAACAGUUGUAGUUAACUAUAGUAUUCAAUCUUUGGUAUCUUUAGCAAACAAUGCAUUUUUGCACAUGUAUUGCCUCUGUUCUUAUUGGCUACUGCUGUUCUAUCAGGCCCACAUGAAUACACAUGUACACAAGCACAUCUUGAGAGAUAUGCAUACAAACCACACAUCUCUUACACACCAUCCAGCUACAUGCACAAAUGCAUAUAUUAUUCCUUCCCCUCUACACAUCUCUCAUCUACAGAAACAAAGAAAUGGAAAAUGAUGGAAAUUUUUUCAAGAUUUAUUUUUUUUUGUUAUUAUAUUUUAUUUUACUCUUUUUCUUUCUAUUUUUUCCUAAAAAAAACCAAAAAACAAACCUAACAAAAUUCUUUUAAUCUCUUAUUUCUUUGUGCGUGUGUAUUCCCACCCCCUGUAAAUACUUAAAUAUAUAUAUAUAUUUAUUACUGUCUUGUGGUUUCAAGGGCCAUGCUAUGUGAAAACAAAGAAAGAAAAAAAAAGAGCAAAAAACAAAAUAAAACAAAAGUCAAAUAAAAAAGAAACCAAAAAAGACAAAGCUACUUUGUUGGGGUGGGGAGAGGAGACUCAUAAGCAACUCUUUCAUUCCAAAGAACAAAUGUUGUUACUACUACUACUACUACUACUUGUGUUAAUGGCUAUUAUGUUUUCUUAUUUGGGAAUGCGAAUUUUAGGGGGAGGGAGAAAAUGGGAAGUUCUGACAUUCGUGCCUUUCCAGCCCUCUUCCAUUUCCCUCUUCCUGUCCAUUUCUGAGGGCACUAAACACUAAUGUGGGGCUAGGGAACCGUUCCGAUUUUCACUUAACUUAGGCCAAGGUGGUGAGUGGGGCAGGGGCAGGUUUAAUCGAAGACGUAAGAUAGAGAGAGAGAGGGGCUUUUGUUACAUGGGUGUGCGCCUGUUGAGGUCUCUUACUCAUGUUGGGUUGGUGGGGGGGGGCAGUCGUGGACUUCAUUUGACAUUAAAACAAAAUAAAUUAGCACUAUACACACAUGUACACAUACUACAAUAUGCGCCUCCUACAUGAUUACGAUGAUGAUAAAAUGAUUUUUUUUUUUGUUUUUUAAUUUUGUGGGAUGGUGGUGGAGGAGACAGUAGUAGCGAAUUAAAUAUUUGAAGAGAACCAAAUAUUGGGAAUAAGACUGGUGGGGAUAAGAAUUUAAAAAAAAUAAUGAAAAAAAAAUGGAAAAAGACAAAAGAAAUAUAUUUAAAAAAAAAACGAAUUUGAAAUUUAAAAACAAAACACAAUAAAAAACAAGGCCAAAUGAUUAAUAAUAAUAAUAAUAAUUAUCAUUAUAUUGAUAAUAUCUAUUUAAAAAAAAAAGUUGGAAAUAAAAUAAAAAAAAAAAAAUGAACAUCCAAAGAAAAGACAUUUUUCUUUCAAUGAUCCUGAACCUUGCUAAGAGGUUGUCAUCAUCACAUUCGAUGAUGACAAUAACAGUUUGUGUAGUUUGUGGAAGUUUUAUCUUUGUUUUAAUUAUUUUCUUUUUUUUUUUUAGUUUUGAUUGAAUAAUAAUAAAAAAGGAAGAAAAGAUGAAUAAUCAAAAAAAAAUUAAAAUUAAAACUCCAUAUGGCUCUCUGUUUUCUGUAUUGCUAUUAUAUAUAUAUAUAUAUAUAUAUAUAUAUAUAUAUAUAUAUAUAUAUAUUUAUAAACUAUUUUUGUUGUGUCUCUCUUGUUUUCAUUUUUUCUUUUUACCCUUCAGUUUUGAUCUUUAUCUCCUUAUAUUCGUGUUUCCAUUAUACUUUUAUCUAUGAUAAAGGUCGAUAUAAAUUUUGUGUUUUUUUAAAUAUUUCAUUGCAAUAUCAAUAUUCUUUCUGAUCCCACAUAUAUAUAUAUAUAUAUAUAUAUAUAUUAUAUAUAUAUGUGUGUGUGUGUCAUAUGGUCUUUUGUAAAUUCAUUGCGGAAAUACAUCGCAGUAAAUACACCGAAUGGAAUUACAUUGCAGUAGAUAUGGCAACUGGAAUUAAUAUGCAUUGCAGUAAAUAUGAUUGGAAUUUCACAGCUUAGUAAUUUCAUUGUAAGGUAACUACCAAUACUUUUAUUUUUUUAUCUUUUACUGUGGCCAUGCUGAGGCACCACCUUGAAGGGUGUAGUUGAAUGCAUUGCCUCUAGUGCUUGUUUUUUGUUUAUAAGCCUGGUACUUAUUCUACUCGUCUCUUUUUGCUGAAUCAUCAAGUCAUAGGAUGUAAAUAAACCAACACUAGUUGUGAAGCACUGGUGGAGGACAGACAGACACGCGCGCGCGCGCACACACAUAACGUACAGAGGGGGAGCAUAUACAUAUAAUUACAUAUGUGAAGGCGCAUGGGUUAGUGCUUAGGCUGUUGCACUCGCAAUUACUACAUUGUUGGUUUGAUUCCUAAACUGAGCAGCAUGUUGUGUUCUUCAGCAAAAUACUUCAUUUCAUGUUGCUCAUGUCUCCUUUUGAUCAUGGAGGAAUGUUGGCCUGCUUGCCUAGCCAGCGGGUUACAAUAAGAAAAAGAGUGCAUGAAAGCGCAGUGUGAUCAGUGGUGUGUAACAUCUGAUAGCCUGGUUGGCCACAUGGCGAUAUACAUACAUACAUACAUACAGGGUGUCCAUAAAGUCCCUUUACAAUAUUUAGAUAAAAGUUUGGAAGUUGUAAAGAUAAUUUAUGGACACCCUGUAUAUAUAUAUAUAUGUAUAUAUAUAUGCACAUACACACACACAAUGCACCACUUAGGGUUUAUAUCUACCAAAUCUACUCACAAGACUUUGGUUGACCCAGGAUUGUAGUAGAAGACAGUUGCCCAAGGUGGUAUACAGCUGGACUGAAUCUAGAACCCUGUGGGUGCAAAGCACACUUCUGAUCAUGCCUAAUUUUUGUUUAUCUGUAGAAUUAAUGUUUAGAUAAACAUUAAUUCGUUUUUUCGUUUUGAAAUGUAUAUGUAUAAUGUCAAUUUGUCCCAUUUUAUUAAUAUUAAAAAAGAAAAUCAGAUAUUAAAAAAAAAUUCCAACCUAAAACAUUUGGAAAGUUUUAGAAUUCUUUGAAGAGAACACUCAAGACAUGAACUAAUAAUCAUAGUUAUGUCAUCAAUGAGAGUGCAUGACCUGGUGGUUAGGGGUGUUGGACUCGUGAUUGCUAGAUUGUGAUUUCAAUUCCUAGACUGUGUUGUGUGUUAUGUUCUUGAGCAAACGACUUCAUUUCACAUUGCUCUGUGAUCACUUUGACACUGACGUGUGGUACACAGUGUAUCUGUUCAGACAAUGUCGAUUUGAUGGAAAGAGUGAGCUAAUGUGUAGCAUGAACAUUUUCAUUGCUAUAAACAAAUCAUUUGUGCAGGUCAUUCGGCAAAAAGCUGAACUCUUAUAUGUUGCCUUCAACAGGAGAGUCCAUCAUGUCAUCAAUGCAGAAAUUAGCUCAUUGUCAAAAUGAAAUACAGAAUAGCAAAUACUGAACAACUGAUUGGAAAUCAACUCCCGAAAUAAUGAAUUAAUUUAAGAAGCAUUGGUCUAUUUUGAAUCUUUUUUUCCUUUUUAGAAUUUAUAAUUGUUACUAUUUUGUGUGUGUGUGUGUGUGUGUGUGUGUGUUAUAUUUUUGAAAGCAGCUUUGGGUUUUUUUUUUUUCAUGUAUUUAUUAAGUUAAUCUAACAGGGCUUUCCUUUUGUCUUUGAAUUUCUAUUUCAAUGUUAAUGAAGUGCAGUGUCUUUAAUCUGUGAUUAAAAACUUACAUUAGUAAAGUUAUGUUUAGUCAUAGCUAUGUGGUUAAGAAGUUUGCUUCACAAUUACAUGAUAUUUCUGGUUCAGUCACACUGUAUCACUUGUAGGAUGUGAGUAAAUAUGGGAAACAGAAACCCUGCAGAAGCCCAUUAUGUAUGUGUGUAUCUGUAUAUAUGUAUGUAUUGGCAUGUAUCUUUCUGUUUGUUCCUCUACUGCUUGUCAACUGGUGUUGGUUUGUUUGUGUCUCUGAGAGUAGAUGGUUCAACAAGAAAGAGACUGCUUGAGUAAGUACUAAACUUAAUGAGUUCUGGGUGUGCUGGGGUCAGUUUAUUUGAUUCAACCAUUCAAGGCAGUAGUCUCACGUGGCUUACAUUGCAAUGUCUGAAUCUGAUAAAUAAUAAUGUAAAAUGAUGUUUUUACUCAGAAUAAAAAUGGGAUGAUGAAUUCACUAAAGCACUAACAGUGUAUUGGCUUACAAUGUAAUUAUCUUAUGGAAUUCCAGGUAGUAUAUUUACUGCAAUUUAAUUACCCACAAUGAAUUUACUAGACACUAUAUAUAUAUAUAUAUAUAUAUAUAUAUAUAUAUAUACACAUACAUACAUGCAUAUACAUAUUUGUGGCAUCUGAUUAAUUAUACACACAUACACAAACAUGUAUAAAGUCAUUUGAUUCAUUCCAGGACCUUGUGUGUUGAUUGUUAAAUAAAACGGCUUUUUGCAGAAUUAA
Long non-coding RNA from Octopus sinensis (East Asian common octopus), 6686 nucleotides. RefSeq lists it as uncharacterized. The record is from RefSeq and is a predicted model, not a curated record. The transcript is spliced from 2 exons. NCBI's taxonomy places the organism in Eukaryota, Metazoa, Mollusca, Cephalopoda, Octopoda, Octopodidae.